AGAAUCAACGCUGGCGGCGUGCCUAACACAUGCAAGUCGAACGAGAAAGUGGAGCAAUCCAUGAGUAAAGUGGCGCACGGGUGAGUAACACGUGACUAACCUACCCUUGAGUGGGGGAUAACUGAGGGAAACCUUAGCUAAUACCGCAUAAUACCCACGGGUCAAAGGAGCAAUUCGCUCGAGGAGGGGCCCGCGUCUGAUUAGCUAGUUGGUGGGGUAACGCCUACCAAGGCAACGAUCAGUA
This 244-nucleotide ribosomal RNA is filed under the name uncultured bacterium. RNAcentral describes it as "partial small subunit ribosomal RNA". It matches the Rfam family "Bacterial small subunit ribosomal RNA", at positions 26 to 285 of the family's 1533-position model. The record is from RNAcentral.